UGAAAGGCUAAUCAAGCUCAGAGAUAUCUGGUUCUCUCCGAAAUAUAUUUAGGUAUAGCCUCGGAUCAAUUCCGUGGCGGCCGUAGAGCACUGUUUGGUCUAGGGGCCCUACCAGGUUACCGAAAUCAGGCAAACUCCGAAGACCGUCACGGUUACUCCGGGAGUCAGUUGCUGGGGGAUAAACUUCAGCGUCAAAAGGGAAACAGCCCUGACCGACAGCUAAGGUCCCUAAGUUCUAGCUAAGUGGCAAACGAUGUCCGAGUGCAUAGACAACCAGGAGGUUGGCUUAGAGGCAGCCAUCCUUGAAAGAGUGCGUAACAGCUCACUGGUCAAGUGUUCGGGCGCGGAUAAUGUAACGGGGCUCAAGCUAGACACCGAAGCUUCGGGUUCGACGUAAGUCGAGCGGUAGGAGAGCGUUCCCAUGGCAGUGAAGCGGCGGGGGAACCCAGCCGUGGAGCCAUGGGAAGUGAGAAUGCCGGCAUGAGUAACGAAAGAGGGGUGAGAAUCCCCUCCGCCGAUUGCCCAAGGAUUCCUGAGUAAAGUUCGUCUGCUCAGGGUUAGUCGGGACCUAAGGCGAGGCCGAAAGGCGUAGUCGAUGGACAACAGGUUGAUAUUCCUGUACCACGUCGCACUCAUUUGACCGAUGGGGGGACGGGGAAGGCUAUGAGAACCCAGGCGGUGGUAGUCCUGGGUCAAGCACGUAGGGGGAGCUCAUGAAAAAUGCGGAGCUCCAUAACCUGAGGUGUUAUGACAGCCGGCUUAAAGCCAGCGAGUCUCGGACGCCAUGCCCCCAAGAAAAGCCUCUAGGGACGAGAGCACGUGCCCGUACCAAAACCGACACAGGUGGGCAAGUAGAGAAUACUAAGGUGAUCGAGAUAACCAUCGUUAAGGAACUCGGCAAAAUCGCUCCGUAACUUCGGGAUAAGGAGCGCCCCAUUAGGGUGAAGCGCUUUACGCGUGGAGCCUGAGAGGGCCGCAGUGAAUAGGUUCAACCGACUGUUUACCAAAAACACAGGUCUCUGCUAAGUCGCAAGACGACGUAUAGGGGCUGACGCCUGCCCGGUGCCGGAAGGUUACGUGGAGGUGUUAGGCGCAAGCCGAAGCACUGAAACUAAGCCCCGGUGAACGGCGGCGGUAACGAUAACCGUCCUAAGGUAGCGAAAUUCCUUGUCGGGUAAGUUCCGACCUGCACGAAUGGCGUAACGAGUUGAACGCUGUCUCAACGAUGGGCUCGGUGAAAUUGCAGUCUCGGUGAAGAUGCCGAGUACCCGUGGCUAGACGGAAAGACCCCGUGAACCUUUACUACAACCUGGUAUUGGAGUGCGGUGCAUCUCGCUCAGGAUAGGAGGGAGGCUUUGAAGCGCCGGCUGCGGCUGGCGUGGAGCCAACCUUGAGAUACCUCCCUUGAUGUAUUGUGCUUCUAACACCGCGCCGUUAUCCGGGCGGUGAACAGUGCCAGGCGGGUAGUUUGACUGGGGCGGUCGCCUCCCAAAAUGUAACGGAGGCGCGCAAAGGUUCCCUCAGCACGGUUGGAAAUCGUGCGUAGAGUGCAAAAGCAGCAAGGGAGCUUGACUGUGAGACCGACAGGUCGAGCAGGUGCGAAAGCAGGCUUUAGUGAUCCGGCAGUAGCAAGUAC
RNAcentral lists this ribosomal RNA (1636 nucleotides) under metagenome. RNAcentral describes it as "bacterial LSU rRNA". It matches the Rfam family "Bacterial large subunit ribosomal RNA", at positions 822 to 2436 of the family's 2925-position model. The record is from RNAcentral.